RNAcentral lists this long non-coding RNA (710 nucleotides) under Gossypium barbadense (sea-island cotton). RNAcentral's name for it is "long non-coding RNA (GBAR_LNC018745)". Lineage: Eukaryota; Viridiplantae; Streptophyta; Magnoliopsida; Malvales; Malvaceae. The record is from RNAcentral.
CAGGAUGGAUACCGGGCAACCUGAACAAGGGUCACCUAGAUUGGUUUUACUUCCUCUUAGCUGGACUAACAACAAUUGACUUGAUUGUCUACAUAGCAUGCGCCCGAUGGUACAAGAGUAUCAAGCUGGAAGGAAAAACUGCAGAAAAUAUUGACGACCAAGUUAGCUUUAAACUAUAAUAUAUACAUAUCGGUGCUAAAACAUAUAAAUCACGGUAUAGAUUAAUAGAAUAAUGAGGAAACUGGGUUAGAGGGUUAGUCCCCAACAUGAUGAUGUUGAGAAAUUAAAGAUUUAAGUCGAAAGAAAAGUGGGGUAUCGUGAGAGAGAAAUCAAUUUUCCUCUCAACUCUCUUGAAUUCCCAUCACUUGAAUUGUCCUGUCUGUUUGUAAAUAUGCAGAAUGUUAUCUGCAUAAAAGAGCUUUCUCUUGGACUUUAAUGAAAGUGUAAUUUUCCUCCGCCUAUUAGAUCUAUCCAUCAUCCAUGUAAGCUUCUUGAGUAUUUUCGAUAGAAUACAUUUUCAAUAAUGCAAAGAGGAGAGUGCUUACCUUGCGAGAAAGCUAGGCCCAAGUUGUGAUGGAAAAUGGGACCUAUAUAACUACACUGAGCCCAAUAGAGAUAACAAAAUGGGCCAAGCUAUAGUCAAAGAUUUUGACAGUUGACACGCUCCCCUUUUAACCCUUUCUGUGGGGGAAAACAUAAUUGGCACAAUG